UACGAAGGGGGCUAGCGUUGCUCGGAAUCACUGGGCGUAAAGCGCACGUAGGCGGUCUUUUAAGUCAGGGGUGAAAUCCUGGAGCUCAACUCCAGAACUGCCUUUGAUACUGAGAGACUUGAGUCCGGGAGAGGUGAGUGGAACUGCGAGUGUAGGGGUGAAAUUCGUAGAUAUUCGCAAGAACACCAGUGGCGAAGGCGGCUCACUGGCCCGGUACUGACGCUGAGGUGCGAAAGCGUGGGGAGCAAACAGG
Molecule: ribosomal RNA, 253 nt
Filed under: uncultured bacterium
Lineage: Bacteria
Description: partial 16S ribosomal RNA
Rfam family: Bacterial small subunit ribosomal RNA
Source: RNAcentral